This 338-nucleotide long non-coding RNA is filed under the name Mytilus galloprovincialis (Mediterranean mussel). Lineage: Eukaryota; Metazoa; Mollusca; Bivalvia; Mytilida; Mytilidae. The record is from RNAcentral.
CGGUGUGUCUUUUCGUUUAAUUGACACGUUUAUAAUGUUUUAAUAAAUAAUACAGCUCACUACUGUACGAUUGUAGGUUCACAGUUUGAACACUGACUAAUUGAUUAUCACGAAAAGUUAUAUUGUUCAACAAAUAUGUUUUGAUUGCAUAUCGAUCAUUGAAAUUAAUUAGACAAACCGGUUUUGACAGGUAAUAAUUAAUGUAAUUAAGAGUAUUGGGACUUCAUAAUAAGACCGGAAUUCGGAAUACACAGGGUCCGGUUUACAAAGGGUAUUUUAACAAAGACUUUGAAUGGAAAAAUAUGGGACUUUCAUUUUCGGCCGGAAUGGACAGGAAA